GACGAACGCUGGCGGCGUGCCUAAUACAUGCAAGUAGAACGCACAGUUUAUACCGUAGCUUGCUCCACCAUAAACUGUGAGUUGCGAACGGGUGAGUAACGCGUAGGUAACCUGCCUGGUAGCGGGGGAUAACUAUUGGAAACGAUAGCUAAUACCGCAUAAUAUUGAUUAUUGCAUGAUAAUUGAUUGAAAGAUGCUAUUGCAUCACUACCAGAUGGACCUGCGUUGUAUUAGCUAGUAGGUGAGGUAACGGCUCACCUAGGCGACGAUACAUAGCCGACCUGAGAGGGUGAUCGGCCACACUGGGACUGAGACACGGCCCAGACUCCUACGGGAGGCAGCAGUAGGGAACCUUCGGCAAUAGACGAAAGUCUGACCGAGCAACGCCGCGUGAGUGAAGAAGGUUUUCGGAUCGUAAAGCUCUGUCGUAAGAGAAGAACGGGUGUGAGAGUGGAAAGUUCACACUGUGACGGUAUCUUACCAGAAAGGGACGGCUAACUACGUG
RNAcentral lists this ribosomal RNA (505 nucleotides) under uncultured bacterium. RNAcentral's name for it is "partial 16S ribosomal RNA". It matches the Rfam family "Bacterial small subunit ribosomal RNA", at positions 28 to 507 of the family's 1533-position model. The record is from RNAcentral.